This 535-nucleotide ribosomal RNA is filed under the name uncultured Raoultella sp. Its description in RNAcentral is "bacterial SSU rRNA". It matches the Rfam family "Bacterial small subunit ribosomal RNA", at positions 505 to 1040 of the family's 1533-position model. The record is from RNAcentral. Lineage: Bacteria; Pseudomonadati; Pseudomonadota; Gammaproteobacteria; Enterobacterales; Enterobacteriaceae.
GUGCCAGCCGCCGCGGUAAUACGGAGGGUGCAAGCGUUAAUCGGAAUUACUGGGCGUAAAGCGCACGCAGGUGGUCUGACAAGUCGGAUGUGAAAUCCCCGGGCUCAACCCGGGAACUGCAUUCGAAACUGUCAGGCUGGAGUCUUGUAGAGGGGGGUAGAAUUCCAGGUGUAGCGGUGAAAUGCGUAGAGAUCUGGAGGAAUACCGGUGGCGAAGGCGGCCCCCUGGACAAAGACUGACGCUCAGGUGCGAAAGCGUGGGGAGCAAACAGGAUUAGAUACCCUGGUAGUCCACGCUGUAAACGAUGUCGACCUGGAGGUUGUGCCCUUGAGGCGUGGCUUCCGGAGCUAACGCGUUAAGUCGACCGCCUGGGGAGUACGGCCGCAAGGUUAAAACUCAAAUGAAUUGACGGGGCCCGCACAAGCGGUGGAGCAUGUGGUUUAAUUCGAUGCAACGCGAAGAACCUUACCUACUCUUGACAUCCACGGAAUUUAGCAGAGAUGCUUUAGUGCCUUCGGGAACCGUGAGACAGGUG